Molecule: ribosomal RNA, 449 nt
Filed under: uncultured bacterium
Lineage: Bacteria
Description: partial 16S ribosomal RNA
Rfam family: Bacterial small subunit ribosomal RNA
Source: RNAcentral
AACGAACGCUGGCGGCAGGCUUAACACAUGCAAGUCGAACGCCCUAGCAAUAGGGAGCGGCGCACGGGUGAGUAACGCGUGGGAAUAUACCGAGAAGUGGGGAAUAACUUUGGGAAACUAAAGCUAAUACCGCAUACGCCCGAGAGGGGAAAGAUUUAUCGCUUUUCGAUUAGCCAGCGUGAGAUUAGGUAGUUGGUGGGGUAAUGGCCUACCAAGCCUACUAUCUCUAGCUGGUCUGAGAGGAUGAUCAGCCACACUGGAACUGAGACACGGUCCAGACUCCUACGGGAGGCAGCAGUGGGGAAUAUUGGACAAUGGGGGAAACCCUGAUCCAGCCAUGCCGCGUGAAUGAUGAAGGCCUUAGGGUUGUAAAGUUCUUUCGCCGAUGAAGAUAAUGACGGUAGUCGGAGAAGAAGCCCCGGCUAACUUCGUGCCAGCAGCCGCAGUAA